This 1861-nucleotide long non-coding RNA is filed under the name Apis mellifera (honey bee). RNAcentral describes it as "uncharacterized LOC113219099". Lineage: Eukaryota; Metazoa; Arthropoda; Insecta; Hymenoptera; Apidae. The record is from RNAcentral.
UUCAAAAUUCCGAUCAGAUUCGAUGAACAACCAAUUAUAAAAUUGUUAUAAGCAAUUGCAAAAUAUCUUACAAGGAAAUAAAUGUUUAACAAAGUGAGAAUGGUUGAAAUAUAUAAAGAAGGAAACAAAAUAACACCGUUCACUGCGAAAUUUUCACGAUAUUAUAUUCCUUACUCGCUUUCCAAUCCGAUCGUUCGAAUUCGAUUCGAAAAAAUGAAUGAUGGAACGAGACGUCAGCUGUCUAACUGCAAAAGUUCUAUUAGAGGUUCAAAAAGGGUAAAAUAAGAGAGGACAGAAAAUAGAGAAAGGAGGAAAAAAAAUAAAGAUGGAUGGAAGAGAAAAGAAAAGAGGAAAGGUGUAUAGUUCGCGGAUUCAAGCUGCACCGACACCAGAAACGUCCCACGGUUUUCGAGGUUCAGCAGGGUUAAAAGGAAUUACAUUAUCGUGAAGCGUUUGGGCGUGGGAGACCUGAACCCUGUUUCGAGGAUCCGGCUGUGAUGCACCCGUUGCACCCGCGACCUACCUUCUGUACUUCCUCCAUGGCCUGCGUCGAUCCUUUAUUUUUUCAUUCAUUCCCGAAAGGAAGGAUCGCGGUGUUGUGAAGAUUUCGAGACGAUUUUUUGAAGGAUUAAGUAAGGUAAACACCAUGCGUGUAUCACGAACGAUUAAGAAAGAGAGAAUUACAAAGUGGAUGUAUUAAGUUUAAUUAAACUGUCCAUAAGAUUAAUAUCACAUGUAUAUUCAGACUUCAAUAUUCAAUAAUAAUAUAAUUGAUAUAACCAAGGAAACAACAUCGAUAUAUUAAACUAAAUAUAUUAAUAUACUAAAAGAUAAAUUAUACGCGAAAGAUAUCGCAAAACUCUUUCCUCGUUUAUCUUUAAUAGAACGUAUUAAUCUGACAGAACCUCUCGGCUCUAUAUCUUUCCAACUUCCACUGUUUGGUAGACAUCAGCUUCUAAAGGGAGACAGAUGAGGUGGACCACUGGCAGGUAGCCGGUGUAUGUGGUGCAGCAGGUGAGCAGUAGGUCAACUCGGCUCACAUGUACAUUUAUAUGCGUGUCCGAUGCUCGAUACAAGAAAGUUCUUUGUCUCGAUGGAAAUGCACCGUGUGAAAUCAGAAAAUUCAUGAAUUGGGAAAAGGAUUUUUUAAACAAGUUUUUAUAAAAAAAAAUCAAAAGUCAAGGUCGUUCAAGAUCGUUCAAGAUGAUACAAGAUCAAUUCGUUCAUCGAUUCAAGAGAAACAUUCUAUUGGAGAAUUUUUUUCGACAUUCAUUUUUAUCAUUAUUCGCUCUUCAAUUAUUAUACAAUAAUAAUAUUAUAUAGAUUCAUCAUAUUUGAGGCUCUCGUCAAGAUUCUUGGAAAAUUGCAAGAAACUCGAUACCGAGCAAAAGGAACUUUAUCGACCGUUCGAAAUGAUUCGAGUUUUCGAUGUACAGCCGGUACAUACAUACUCACACAGAGUUAGGAGUCAGGUAGUAAGGUGGGUAGGCGGUGGGUAGGUAGGUGCAUACGCGUAGCGUGGGAAGGUCCGGCAGCUGAGAGCAGAAGGGGCCCCAAAAAGCGGCUGCAGCUUCUUCUUCUUGCCUGUUGCUGCCGCUGCCCUCUGCCUCGGCCCUUCCUCACCCGUGGGACCUGCCCACUUCUUCUUCUUCUUCUUCUGGAUAUACGACCCCUCGACCGAACUAUUCAGAUGCCCGUGAACGCGACUUUUCCGCUUUCCUUCUUUGCCUGUAUACGACCUCUCUUAAUUCUCAGCUGUGCCAGGACCUUAUCGAAUAUCGGUGUAAGUACACAAACUGUCGUUCAAUGAUCGAUUUGGAAAGUUUGCAAAGUCAAUGCUGGAAUAAGAAUUUUAGGGAAA